Molecule: ribosomal RNA, 406 nt
Filed under: uncultured Fimbriimonadaceae bacterium
Lineage: Bacteria; Bacillati; Armatimonadota; Fimbriimonadia; Fimbriimonadales; Fimbriimonadaceae
Description: bacterial SSU rRNA
Rfam family: Bacterial small subunit ribosomal RNA
Source: RNAcentral
UGGGAAUCUUGCGCAAUGGGGGAAACCCUGACGCAGCGACGUCGCGUGGAGGACGAAGGAUUUAGGUCUGUAAACUCCUUUUUCAGGGAAAGACUUAGGACGGUACCCUGAGAAUAAGCACCGGCUAACUACGUGCCAGCAGCCGCGGUAAGACGUAGGGUGCAAGCGUUGUCCGGAUUUACUGGGCGUAAAGGGCGCGUAGGCGGUCUGUUAAGUGUAGAGUGAAAUCUCCAGGGCUCAACCCGGAAACUGCUCUGCAUACUGGCAGACUUGAGGGACGAAGAGGUAUGUGGAAUUCCUGGUGUAGCGGUGAAAUGCGUUGAUAUCAGGAGGAACACCCAUGGCGAAGGCAGCAUACUGGUCGUUUCCUGACGCUGAGGCGCGAAAGCGUGGGUAGCAAACAGGA